CAGUCGCCGCGGUAAAACGAAGGGUGCAAGCGUUACUCGGAAUUACUGGGCGUAAAGCGUGCGUAGGUGGUGGUUUAAGUCCGUUGUGAAAGCCCUGGGCUCAACCUGGGAAUUGCAGUGGAUACUGGGUCACUAGAGUGUGUCAGAGGAUGGUGGAAUUCCCGGUGUAGCGGUGAAAUGCGUAGAGAUCGGGAGGAACAUCAGUGGCGAAGGCGGCCAUCUGGGACAACACUGACGCUGAGGCACGAAAGCGUGGGGAGCAAACAGGAUUAGAUACCCCCGUAGUCCCUGUCUCUUAUAC
Molecule: ribosomal RNA, 301 nt
Filed under: uncultured bacterium
Lineage: Bacteria
Description: partial 16S ribosomal RNA
Rfam family: Bacterial small subunit ribosomal RNA
Source: RNAcentral